This 203-nucleotide long non-coding RNA is filed under the name Gossypium raimondii (Peruvian cotton). Its description in RNAcentral is "long non-coding RNA (GRAI_LNC005372)". Lineage: Eukaryota; Viridiplantae; Streptophyta; Magnoliopsida; Malvales; Malvaceae. The record is from RNAcentral.
AUUAAAUUCAAAAUGUGAUCAUGCAACUAUUUAUGACCGAAUUUCUUUAUUUGAAGAGAUUUAUUUUUUUUUAAAUAAAUUUACAUCAAGAAAAUCUCCACUAAUUCUAUUUUAUAUUAAAAACUUAAUUGAUUGAAUUCAAGAAGACAAAUUCACAUCAUUGUAUUAUUUUUGCUCAACCAAAAGAACAUAUUAUAAACCCA